GACAGAGGGUGCGAGCGUUGUCCGGAGUCGCUGGGCGUAAAGCGCGCGCAGGCGGCAACCUUAGUGUCGUGUGAAAGCCCCCGGCUCAACCGGGGGAGGCCAUGGCAAACUGGGUCGCUCGAGCUGCGGAGAGGCUCCUCGAAUUGCCGGUGUAGCGGUGAAAUGCGUAGAGAUCGGCAGGAAGACCAAGGGGGAAGCCAGGGGGCUGGCCGCAGGCUGACGCUGAGGCGCGACAGCGUGGGGAGCAAACCGG
RNAcentral lists this ribosomal RNA (253 nucleotides) under uncultured bacterium. RNAcentral's name for it is "partial 16S ribosomal RNA". It matches the Rfam family "Bacterial small subunit ribosomal RNA", at positions 524 to 776 of the family's 1533-position model. The record is from RNAcentral.